Long non-coding RNA from Helianthus annuus (common sunflower), 769 nucleotides. RefSeq lists it as uncharacterized. The record is from RefSeq and is a predicted model, not a curated record. NCBI's taxonomy places the organism in Eukaryota, Viridiplantae, Streptophyta, Magnoliopsida, Asterales, Asteraceae. The transcript has 3 exons.
AAUUGUAAUUUCCCUUACAAUUUGUAAGAUGUCAGCUGAACAGUCAUGGCUUAUUGCCCUAAUUUUCAUCCACUGCUCCCAAAUUUACCCCCUACUUCAAUGAUUCUUCGAUUUUUCCUUCAGUUUCUUGGAAUAAUACAACCCUUUUAUAAAUGCGAUCAACAAUCUAUGCAAUUCAAUCGUUUCCGCUUCAAUGGCCCAUCCGUUUCUACCAAUCCACCGUAUUAAGAACUCGUCAUUGAAAUCAAACACUAAGGGGUUUGGCAUUUUGUUUGUUUAUAUUUUUAAUCUAUAUAUUUUUUGGAUUCGGAUGAUUUUAGUUCUAUGGAUUUCUGUGAUCAAUUUGGGUGUUCCAUAAUGGGGUUGGUCAUUUGAAGCAGCAACAGCAAACCCUAAUUUCACCCCCAAUUUUGCUUUUAUAUUUAAAGCUUUUUAUAUACAGACUCAAAGCUUAUAAAGUUGAUUCCGAUAAUAUCAACCAUCAGCAUAAAAGUUUCAUUACAUUGCUGGAUAACUUGGAUCAUGCAUACGAUUUUCACUGAAGCUGGGAUUGAAUGUGUGUGCUUAUUGCAAUGCUUCUACAGAACAGAUACCAACGCCAGAGGCUUUAUACCCGUAUUUCACUGGGAAAGGCUAGAAGAAUGGAUGUUGUGUGGGGAGAAACUGCUGGAGUAGAAGGUCAAAUAUUGUUUUGCUGAUUAAGUAUAGUUUUGUUCUUGCAAGCGUUAUAUGCGAAUAUGAUUGAAUUCAGAUGUGAUUGUUGUUGUUA